This 272-nucleotide ribosomal RNA is filed under the name uncultured bacterium. Its description in RNAcentral is "partial 16S ribosomal RNA". It matches the Rfam family "Bacterial small subunit ribosomal RNA", at positions 85 to 354 of the family's 1533-position model. The record is from RNAcentral.
CCGCCGGCGACCGGCGCACGGGUGAGUAACACGUAUGCAACCUGGCCGUGACAGAUGGAUAACCGGGAGAAAUCCCGCCUAAUACAACAUAAUGCCGGGAGGGGACAUCCCCUGCCGGCCAAAGGGGCGACCCCGGUCACGGAUGGGCAUGCGGCGCAUUAGGUAGUUGGUGGGGCAACGGCCCAUCAAGCCGACGAUGCGUAGGGGUUCUGAGAGGAAGGUCCCCCACAUUGGAACUGAGACACGGUCCAAACUCCUACGGAAGGCAGCAG